UUUAAGUGCAGCCAUGAGUUUUCGUGUCUAAGUUAGAUUGUCCAUUUUAUUUGAAUUUUUUUGUGGUUAGUAUUUUAUAAUUAGAUGAUAAAACAUGAAUAGUACUUUUAUGCGUGAUUACGUUUUUUAUUAUUUUUAAUUUUUUUUAAAUAAGACGGACUAUCAAAGUUAAACAUUGAAACUCAUGGCUGCACUUAAA
Molecule: non-coding RNA, 199 nt
Organism: Oryza meridionalis
Lineage: Eukaryota; Viridiplantae; Streptophyta; Magnoliopsida; Poales; Poaceae
Source: Rfam